RNAcentral lists this ribosomal RNA (461 nucleotides) under uncultured bacterium. Its description in RNAcentral is "bacterial SSU rRNA". It matches the Rfam family "Bacterial small subunit ribosomal RNA", at positions 29 to 506 of the family's 1533-position model. The record is from RNAcentral.
ACGAACGCUGGCGGCGUGCUUAACACAUGCAAGUCGAGCGAUGAACUCUCUUCGGAGGGGGAUUAGCGGCGAACGGGUGAGUAACACGUGGGCAACCUGCCCUCAGCUCUGGGAUAACUCCUCGAAAGAGGGGCUAAUACCGGAUACGACUUCCUGCGGCAUCUUGGGAAGUGGAAAGUUUUUCGGCUGAGGAUGGGCCCGCGGCCUAUCAGCUUGUUGGUGGGGUAACGGCCCACCAAGGCGACGACGGGUAGCCGGCCUGAGAGGGCGACCGGCCACACUGGGACUGAGACACGGCCCAGACUCCUACGGGAGGCAGCAGUGGGGAAUAUUGCGCAAUGGGCGAAAGCCUGACGCAGCGACGCCGCGUGAGGGAUGAAGGCCUUCGGGUUGUAAACCUCUUUCAGCAGGGACGAAGCGAAAGUGACGGUACCUGCAGAAGAAGCACCGGCCAACUACGU